Molecule: long non-coding RNA, 859 nt
Filed under: Solanum tuberosum (potato)
Lineage: Eukaryota; Viridiplantae; Streptophyta; Magnoliopsida; Solanales; Solanaceae
Description: long non-coding RNA (STUB_LNC011409)
Source: RNAcentral
AAAUGUUUUACGUUUUAGACGUUGUGAUUGAAAGAAUGGUUUCGUUUUAGUUUCACAUGAAAUCAGUUUUGGUUAUUAGUUAAUUCUUCAUUUGGUGUCUUUAUAUUAUAAAAAUUACAGCUCGUGUAUUGUUAUGUAAAAGUAUAUCUAAAGGAUAUAGCUUCUAAUUUGGCAUAAUUAGAAAUUAAGUGAUAAAUGUUAGCAUAUCAUGAUCUCACACUGCAUGUGAUUUCCCCCAUGUAGCUAUACUUUUAACUCUCUGUUAGUGUACAAUCUUUUUUGUUUCUUUUCUUCUUUUAUUUAUUUUUUUAAAAAAAAAUAUUAUGUGUUGGCUAUGUAAAAAGAAAUCAAUAUCGAAAGAGCCAUGGUUGUAGCCUCAUUGUUCACGUUAUAUGAGUAUAAGUUUUUAUUCUUUUAUAUUCUAUUAGAGAUAUGCAUGGAAGCCUAUGUGAUAUCAUGAAGGCUAUGAACUAUUUCUUCCUAGUUGAAUAUGAAGAAUUUGAGGUUUAGCUUAUGUUCAAUAUAUAUAUUUUAUGAUUUAACUAUUUUUAGUUGGUUCAGAACUCUUCAAUAGCUAAAUGAGUAUUUUAUUUGACGCUUGCAUAUCUUGUGUUUGUAAUAAUAUAUACAUUGUAUAAUUUUGCUUAGCUCUAUAUUUGAUUUUCACUAUCGUUUAAAGUUGAAUUGUCUCACUAAUCUCCUCUUUACUUUCUUUUUAUUUACAUGUACAUUCGGGGGCGCGUAUGGAGUUGCAAUAUGACUCCACCUCUAUCCAAAUUAGAGAAGCAACCUAUCUUGCAUUUAGCUCGUGUCUAGAAUGAUUCACUCAUUCCAAAAGAAAAUCCCGCACUUCCUCNNN